GUGUCAGCAGCCGCGGUAAUACGGAGGGUGCGAGCGUUGUUCGGAAUUAUUGGGCGUAAAGCGCGCGUAGGCGGGACGACGAGUCCGGUGUGAAAUCCCUCGGCUCAACCGGGGAAUUGCACUGGAUACUGGCGACCUUGAGUCCUGGAGAGGGUGGCGGAAUUCCCAGUGUAGAGGUGAAAUUCGUAGAUAUUGGGAGGAACACCGGUGGCGAAGGCGGCCACCUGGACAGUGACUGACGCUGAGGCGCGAAAGCAUGGGUAGCAAACAGGAUUAGAAACCCUGGUAGUCC
Molecule: ribosomal RNA, 292 nt
Filed under: uncultured bacterium
Lineage: Bacteria
Description: partial 16S ribosomal RNA
Rfam family: Bacterial small subunit ribosomal RNA
Source: RNAcentral